This 465-nucleotide ribosomal RNA is filed under the name Vreelandella stevensii. RNAcentral describes it as "partial 16S ribosomal RNA". It matches the Rfam family "Bacterial small subunit ribosomal RNA", at positions 338 to 795 of the family's 1533-position model. Lineage: Bacteria; Pseudomonadati; Pseudomonadota; Gammaproteobacteria; Oceanospirillales; Halomonadaceae. The record is from RNAcentral.
CCUACGGGAGGCAGCAGUGGGGAAUAUUGGACAAUGGGGGCAACCCUGAUCCAGCCAUGCCGCGUGUGUGAAGAAGGCCCUCGGGUUGUAAAGCACUUUCAGUGAGGAAGAACGCCUGGUGGUUAAUACCCAUCAGGAAAGACAUCACUCACAGAAGAAGCACCGGCUAACUCCGUGCCAGCAGCCGCGGUAAUACGGAGGGUGCGAGCGUUAAUCGGAAUUACUGGGCGUAAAGCGCGCGUAGGUGGCUUGAUAAGCCGGUUGUGAAAGCCCCGGGCUCAACCUGGGAACGGCAUCCGGAACUGUCAAGCUAGAGUGCAGGAGAGGAAGGUAGAAUUCCCGGUGUAGCGGUGAAAUGCGUAGAGAUCGGGAGGAAUACCAGUGGCGAAGGCGGCCUUCUGGACUGACACUAACACUGAGGUGCGAAAGCGUGGGUAGCAAACAGGAUUAGAUACCCUAGUAGUC